Long non-coding RNA from Oreochromis aureus, 177 nucleotides. RefSeq lists it as uncharacterized. The transcript has 2 exons. The record is from RefSeq and is a predicted model, not a curated record. NCBI's taxonomy places the organism in Eukaryota, Metazoa, Chordata, Actinopteri, Cichliformes, Cichlidae.
AAGAGAGUGAAGUGAGGAGUUUCCUGCAGUGUCUGCCUUAUAUCUCACAGCUCAGUGUUGAGUUUUGGGAUCGAGGUGAAGCAGUCAGGUUCUUUGUGAAUCUGUUCUGUGCAGCAGCAGAGAGAGAACAGCAGACAGGAGAGAAGAUACUGGAGCUGUUAUCAUCAGUGUGCAGAU